Molecule: ribosomal RNA, 506 nt
Filed under: uncultured bacterium
Lineage: Bacteria
Description: partial 16S ribosomal RNA
Rfam family: Bacterial small subunit ribosomal RNA
Source: RNAcentral
GAUGAACGCUAGCUACAGGCUUAACACAUGCAAGUCGAGGGGUAACGAGAGGAAAGCUUGCUUUCCUUGUCGAUGACCGGCGCACGGGUGAGUAACGCGUAUCCAACCUGCCCCCAACUAGGGAAUAACCUUGCGAAAGUAAGACUAAUACCCUAUAAUUUCCUCAGAUGUCAUCUGACGAGGAAUAAAGAUUUAUCGGUUGUGGAUGGGGAUGCGUCUGAUUAGCUUGUUGGCGGGGUAACGGCCCACCAAGGCAACGAUCAGUAGGGGUUCUGAGAGGAAGGUCCCCCACAUUGGAACUGAGACACGGUCCAAACUCCUACGGGAGGCAGCAGUGAGGAAUAUUGGUCAAUGGGCGGAAGCCUGAACCAGCCAAGUAGCGUGCAGGAUGACGGCCCUAUGGGUUGUAAACUGCUUUUAUACAGGAAUAAAGUUAGCCACGUGUGGUUAUUUGUAGGUACUGUAUGAAUAAGGGCCGGCUAAUUCCGUGCCAGCAGCCGCGGUAA